AUUGAACGCUGGCGGCAGGCCUAACACAUGCAAGUCGAGCGAGCGGCGGACGGGUGAGUAAUGUCUGGGAACCUGCCUGAUGUAGGGGGAUAACUACUGGAAACGGUAGCUCAUACCGCAUACCCUCAGAUUUGCCCCGAUGGGAUUAGCUAGUAGGUGGGGUAACGGCUCACCUAGGCGACGAUCCCUAGCUGGUCUGAGAGGAGGACCAGCCAAACUGGAACUGAGAAACGGUCCAGACUCCUACGGGAGGCAGAAGUGGGGAAUAUUGCACAAUGGGCGAAAGCCUGAUGCAGCAAUGCCGCGUGUAUGAAGAAGGCCUUCGGGUUGUAAAGUACGUUCAGCGGGGAGGCGUUACCCGCAGAAGAAGCAACGGCUAACUCCGUGCCAGCAGCCGCGGUAAUAC
RNAcentral lists this ribosomal RNA (406 nucleotides) under uncultured bacterium. Its description in RNAcentral is "partial 16S ribosomal RNA". It matches the Rfam family "Bacterial small subunit ribosomal RNA", at positions 30 to 526 of the family's 1533-position model. The record is from RNAcentral.